GACGAACGCUGGCGGCGUGCCUAAUACAUGCAAGUCGAGCGGACCGGAUUGGGGCUUGCCUUGAUUCGGUCAGCGGCGGACGGGUGAGUAACACGUGGGCAACCUGCCCGCAAGACCGGGAUAACUCCGGGAAACCGGAGCUAAUACCGGAUAACACCGAAGACCGCAUGGUCUUCGGUUGAAAGGCGGCCUUUGGGCUGUCACUUGCGGAUGGGCCCGCGGCGCAUUAGCUAGUUGGUGAGGUAACGGCGCACCAAGGCGACGAUGCGUAGCCGGCCUGAGAGGGUGACCGGCUACACUGGGACUGAGACACGGCCCAGACUCCUACGGGAGGCAGCAGUAGGGAAUCUUCCGCAAUGGGCGAAAGCCUGACGGAGCGACGCCGCGUGAGCGAAGAAGGCCUUCGGGUCGUAAAGCUCUGUUGUGAGGGACGAAGGAGCGCCGUUUGAAGAAGGCGGCGCGGUGACGGUACCUCACGAGAAAGCCCCGGCUAACUACGUGCCAGCAGCCGCAGUAA
This 517-nucleotide ribosomal RNA is filed under the name uncultured bacterium. RNAcentral's name for it is "partial 16S ribosomal RNA". It matches the Rfam family "Bacterial small subunit ribosomal RNA", at positions 28 to 523 of the family's 1533-position model. The record is from RNAcentral.